RNAcentral lists this ribosomal RNA (503 nucleotides) under uncultured bacterium. RNAcentral describes it as "partial 16S ribosomal RNA". It matches the Rfam family "Bacterial small subunit ribosomal RNA", at positions 30 to 523 of the family's 1533-position model. The record is from RNAcentral.
AUUGAACGCUGGCGGCAGGCUUAACACAUGCAAGUCGAGCGGGGUGAUGGUGCUUGCACUAUCACUUAGCGGCGGACGGGUGAGUAAUGCUUAGGAAUCUGCCUAUUAGUGGGGGACAACAUCUCGAAAGGGAUGCUAAUACCGCAUACGUCCUACGGGAGAAAGCAGGGGAUCACUUGUGACCUUGCGCUAAUAGAUGAGCCUAAGUCGGAUUAGCUAGUUGGUGGGGUAAAGGCCUACCAAGGCGACGAUCUGUAGCGGGUCUGAGAGGAUGCUCAGCCACACUGGGAGUGAGACACGGCCCGGACUCCUACGGGAGGCAGCAGUGGGGAAUAUUGGACAAUGGGGGGAACCCUGAUCCAGCCAUGCCGCGUGUGUGAAGAAGGCCUUAUGGUUGUAAAGCACUUUAAGCGAGGAGGAGGCUCUUUUGGUUAAUACCCAAGAUGAGUGGACGUUACUCGCAGAAUAAGCACCGGCUAACUCUGUGCCAGCAGCCGCCGUAA